RNAcentral lists this ribosomal RNA (475 nucleotides) under uncultured bacterium. RNAcentral describes it as "bacterial SSU rRNA". It matches the Rfam family "Bacterial small subunit ribosomal RNA", at positions 26 to 518 of the family's 1533-position model. The record is from RNAcentral.
AGGACGAACGCUGGCGGCGUGCCUAACACAUGCAAGUCGAGCGAGGAGAUUCCUCGGGAUGAUCCUAGCGGCGGACGGGUGAGUAACACGUGGGCAACUUGCCUCAUAGAGAGGAAUAGCCUUCCGAAAGGGAGAUUAAUACCUCAUAACAUUGCAGUUUCGCAUGAAACAGCAAUUAAAGGAGCAAUCCGCUAUGAGAUGGGCCCGCGGCGCAUUAGCUAGUUGGUGAGGUAACGGCUCACCAAGGCGACGAUGCGUAGCCGACCUGAGAGGGUGAUCGGCCACAUUGGGACUGAGACACGGCCCAGACUCCUACGGGAGGCAGCAGUGGGGAAUAUUGCACAAUGGGGGAAACCCUGAUGCAAGCAACGCCGCGUGAGUGAUGACGGCCUUCGGGUUGUAAAGCUCUGUCUUCAGGGACGAUAAUGACGGUACCUGAGGAGGAAGCCACGGCUAACUACGUGCCAGCAGCCGC